Molecule: ribosomal RNA, 1454 nt
Filed under: Cutibacterium avidum
Lineage: Bacteria; Bacillati; Actinomycetota; Actinomycetes; Propionibacteriales; Propionibacteriaceae
Description: bacterial SSU rRNA
Rfam family: Bacterial small subunit ribosomal RNA
Source: RNAcentral
UCAUUGGAGAGUUUGAUCCUGGCUCAGGACGAACGCUGGCGGCGUGCUUAACACAUGCAAGUCGAACGGAAAGGCCCCUUUGGGGGUACUCGAGUGGCGAACGGGUGAGUAACACGUGAGUAACCUGCCCUUGACUUCGGGAUAACUUCAGGAAACUGGGGCUAAUACCGGAUAGGAAUCCUUGCUGCAUGGUGGGGGUUGGAAAGCACGGGUAGCCGGCCUGAGAGGGCGACCGGCCACAUUGGGACUGAGAUACGGCCCAGACUCCUACGGGAGGCAGCAGUGGGGAAUAUUGCACAAUGGGCGGAAGCCUGAUGCAGCAACGCCGCGUGCGGGAUGACGGCCUUCGGGUUGUAAACCGCUUUCAGCAGGGGCGAAGCUUUUGUGACGGUACCUGCAGAAGAAGCACCGGCUAACUACGUGCCAGCAGCCGCGGUGAUACGUAGGGUGCGAGCGUUGUCCGGAUUUAUUGGGCGUAAAGAGCUCGUAGGUGGUUGAUUGCGUCGGAAGUGAAAACUUGGGGCUUAACCCUGAGCGUGCUUUCGAUACGGGUUGACUUGAGGAAGGUAGGGGAGAAUGGAAUUCCUGGUGGAGCGGUGGAAUGCGCAGAUAUCAGGAGGAACACCAGUGGCGAAGGCGGUUCUCUGGACCUUUCCUGACGCUGAGGAGCGAAAGCGUGGGGAGCGAACAGGCUUAGAUACCCUGGUAGUCCACGCUGUAAACGGUGGGUACUAGGUGUGGGGUCCAUUCCACGGAUUCCGUGCCGUAGCUAACGCAUUAAGUACCCCGCCUGGGGAGUACGGCCGCAAGGCUAAAACUCAAAGGAAUUGACGGGGCCCCGCACAAGCGGCGGAGCAUGCGGAUUAAUUCGAUGCAACGCGAAGAACCUUACCUGGGUUUGACAUGGACUGGGAGUGCUCAGAGAUGGGUAUGCCUCCUUGUGGGGCUGGUUCACAGGUGGUGCAUGGCUGUCGUCAGCUCGUGUCGUGAGAUGUUGGGUUAAGUCCCGCAACGAGCGCAACCCUCGUUCACUGUUGCCAGCACGUUAUGGUGGGGACUCAGUGGAGACCGCCGGGGUCAACUCGGAGGAAGGUGGGGAUGACGUCAAGUCAUCAUGCCCCUUAUGUCCAGGGCUUCACGCAUGCUACAAUGGCCGGUACAAAGAGUUGCGAGCCUGUGAGGGUGAGCGAAUCUCGGAAAGCCGGUCUCAGUUCGGAUUGGGGUCUGCAACUCGACCCCAUGAAGUCGGAGUCGCUAGUAAUCGCAGAUCAGCAACGCUGCGGUGAAUACGUUCCCGGGGCUUGUACACACCGCCCGUCAAGUCAUGAAAGUCGGUAACACCCGAAGCCGGUGGCCUAACCUGUGUGGGGGAGCCGUCGAAGGUGGGACUGGUAAUUAGGACUAAGUCGUAACAAGGUAGCCGUACCGGAAGGUGCGGCUGGAUCACCUCCUUU